AGAGUUUGAUCCUGGCUCAGAUUGAACGCUGGCGGCAUGCCUUACACAUGCAAGUCGAACGGCAGCAUGGGAGCUUGCUCCUGGUGGCGAGUGGCGAACGGGUGAGUAAUAUAUCGGAACGUACCCUAGAGUGGGGGAUAACUAGUCGAAAGAUUAGCUAAUACCGCAUACGAUCUACGGAUGAAAGUGGGGGACCGCAAGACCUCAUGCUCAUGGAGCGGCCGAUAUCUGAUUAGCUAGUUGGUGGGGUAAAAGCUCACCAAGGCGACGAUCAGUAGCUGGUCUGAGAGGACGACCAGCCACACUGGAACUGAGACACGGUCCAGACUCCUACGGGAGGCAGCAGUGGGGAAUUUUGGACAAUGGGCGCAAGCCUGAUCCAGCAAUGCCGCGUGAAUGAAGAAGGCCUUCGGGUUGUAAAGCUCUUUUGUCAGGGAAGAAACGGUCUUGGUUAAUACCUGGGGCUAAUGACGGUACCUGAAGAAUAAGCACCGGCUAACUACGUGCCAGCAGCCGCGGUAAUAUGUAGGGUGCAAGCGUUAAUCGGAAUUACUGGGCGUAAAGCGUGCGCAGGCGGUUAUACAAGACAGAUGUGAAAUCCCCGGGCUCAACCUGGGAAUUGCAUUUGUGACUGUAUGGCUAGAGUGUGUCAGAGGGGGGUAGAAUUCCACGUGUAGCAGUGAAAUGCGUAGAUAUGUGGAGGAAUACCGAUGGCGAAGGCAGCCCCUUGGGAUAACACUGACGCUCAUGCACGAAAGCGUGGGGAGCAAACAGGAUUAGAUACCCUGGUAGUCCACGCCCUAAACGACGUCUACUAGUUGUCGGGUCUUAAUUGACUUGGUAACGCAGCUAACGCGUGAAGUAGACCGCCUGGGGAGUACGGUCGCAAGAUUAAAACUCAAAGGAAUUGACGGGGACCCGCACGAGCGGUGGAUGAUGUGGAUUAAUUCGAUGCAACGCGAAAAACCUUACCUACCCUUGACAUGUACGGAAUCCUGAAGAGAUUUAGGAGUGCUCGAAAGAGAACCGUAACACAGGUGCUGCAUGGCUGUCGUCAGCUCGUGUCGUGAGAUGUUGGGUUAAGUCCCGCAACGAGCGCAACCCUUGUCAUUAGUUGCUACGAAAGGGCACUCUAAUGAGACUGCCGGUGACAAACCGGAGGAAGGUGGGAAUGACGUCAAGUCCUCAUGGCCCUUAUGGGUAGGGCUUCACAUAUCAUACAAUGGUACAUACAGAGGGCCGCCAACCCGCGAGGGGGAGCUAAUCCCAGAAAGUGUGUCGUAGUCCGGAUUGGAGUCUGCAACUCGACUCCAUGAAGUUGGAAUCGCUAGUAAUCGCGGAUCAGCAUGUCGCGGUGAACACGUUCCCGGGUCUUGUACACACCGCCCGUCACACCAUGGGAGCGGGUUCUGCCAGAAGUAGUUAGCCUAACCGCAAGGAGGGCGAUUACCACGGCAGGGUUCGUGACUGGGGUGAAGUCGUAACAAGGUAGCCGUA
RNAcentral lists this ribosomal RNA (1497 nucleotides) under uncultured beta proteobacterium. RNAcentral's name for it is "bacterial SSU rRNA". It matches the Rfam family "Bacterial small subunit ribosomal RNA". Lineage: Bacteria; Pseudomonadati; Pseudomonadota; Betaproteobacteria. The record is from RNAcentral.